RNAcentral lists this ribosomal RNA (255 nucleotides) under uncultured bacterium. RNAcentral's name for it is "partial 16S ribosomal RNA". It matches the Rfam family "Bacterial small subunit ribosomal RNA", at positions 524 to 776 of the family's 1533-position model. The record is from RNAcentral.
UACGGGAGGAGCAAGCGUUUGUUCGGAUUUACUGGGCGUAAAGGGCGCGUAGGCGGCGUGACAAGUCACUUGUGAAAUCUCCGGGCUUAACUCGGAACGGUCAAGUGAUACUGUCGUGCUAGAGUACAGAAGGGGCAACUGGAAUUCUCGGUGUAGCGGUGAAAUGCGCAGAUAUCGGGAGGAACACCGGUGGCGAAGGCGGUUCUCUGGGGCCUUACCUGACGCUGAGGAGCGAAAGCGUGGGGAGCGAACAGG